UACAUAUUUCUAGCUUGCUCUAUCAAGUUCUAAGGUUUUAAAGCAUCUUCCAAUACUAAAAAGUCUAACUACACAUACAAAUAGGUGAUCAAGCCACAAGCAUGUAAAAUAAGCGUAGAUAGAAGAAAAGAACAUAAAAACAUAACAUAAAAUAGAUAGUAAGAGUAUUACAUCAAGAGUUUUAGUAGUAACUCCCCAG
Molecule: long non-coding RNA, 199 nt
Filed under: Glycine max (soybean)
Lineage: Eukaryota; Viridiplantae; Streptophyta; Magnoliopsida; Fabales; Fabaceae
Description: long non-coding RNA (GMAX_LNC001311)
Source: RNAcentral